This 292-nucleotide unclassified non-coding RNA is filed under the name uncultured Capnodiales. RNAcentral describes it as "sequence contains ITS1". The stretch from base 1 to 105 matches the Rfam family "5.8S ribosomal RNA", at positions 50 to 154 of the family's 154-position model. The record is from RNAcentral. Lineage: Eukaryota; Fungi; Ascomycota; Dothideomycetes; Capnodiales.
GAAAUGCGAUAAGUAAUGUGAAUUGCAGAAUUCAGUGAAUCAUCGAAUCUUUGAACGCACAUUGCGCCCUCCGGUAUUCCGGGGGGCAUGCCUGUUCGAGCGUCAUUUCACCACUCAAGCCUGGCUUGGUCUUGGGCGCCGCGGUCCGCCGCGCGCCCCAAUGUCUCCGGCUGAGCGACCGUCUCGAAGCGUUGUGGUCAAACAAAUCGCUUGCGGAGCGCGGGAGCCCGGGCCGUUAAACACCCCACCACAGGUUGACCUCGGAUCAGGUAGGGAUACCCGCUGAACUUAA